UGAGGAAUAUUGGUCAAUGGGCGAGAGCCUGAACCAGCCAAGUAGCGUGAAGGAUGACUGCCCUAUGGGUUGUAAACUUCUUUUAUAAAGGAAUAAAGUCGGGUAUGGAUACCCGUUUGCAUGUACUUUAUGAAUAAGCAUCGGCUAACUCCGUGCCAGCAGCCGCGGUAAUACGGAGGAUGCGAGCGUUAUCCGGAUUUAUUGGGUUUAAAGGGAGCGUAGACGGGCCGUUAAGUCAGCUGUGAAAGUUUGAGGCUCAACCUUAAAAUUGCAGUUGAUACUGGCGUCCUUGAGUACGGUUGAGGCAGGCGGAAUUCGUGGUGUAGCGGUGAAAUGCUUAGAUAUCACGAAGAACCCCGAUUGCGAAGGCAGCCUGCUAAACCGCCACUGACGUUGAGGCUCGAAAGUGUGGGUAUCAAACAGGAUUAGAUACCCUGGUAGUCCACACGGUAAACGAUGGAUACUCGCUGUUGGCGAUAGACUGUCAGCGGCUUAGCGAAAGCGUUAAGUAUCCCACCUGGGGAGUACGCCGGCAACGGUGAAACUCAAAGGAAUUGACGGGGGCCCGCACAAGCGGAGGAACAUGUGGUUUAAUUCGAUGAUACGCGAGGAACCUUACCCGGGCUUGAAUUGCAGACGAAUUGCUUGGAAACAGGCAAGCCGCAAGGCGUCUGUGAAGGUGCUGCAUGGUUGUCGUCAGCUCGUGCCGUGAGGUGUCGGCUUAAGUGCCAUAACGAGCGCAACCCUCGUGUCCAGUUACUAGCAGGUUAUGCUGAGGACUCUGGACAGACUGCCAUCGUAAGAUGUGAGGAAGGUGGGGAUGACGUCAAAUCAGCACGGCCCUUACGUCCGGGGCUACACACGUGUUACAAUGGGGGGUACAGCAGGCAGCUACCGGGCGACCGGAUGCCAAUCCCGAAAGCCUCUCUCAGUUCGGACUGGAGUCUGCAACCCGACUCCACGAAGCUGGAUUCGCUAGUAAUCGCGCAUCAGCCACGGCGCGGUGAAUACGUUCCC
This 1017-nucleotide ribosomal RNA is filed under the name uncultured bacterium. RNAcentral's name for it is "bacterial SSU rRNA". It matches the Rfam family "Bacterial small subunit ribosomal RNA", at positions 355 to 1375 of the family's 1533-position model. The record is from RNAcentral.